RNAcentral lists this small RNA (126 nucleotides) under Marmota monax (woodchuck). Lineage: Eukaryota; Metazoa; Chordata; Mammalia; Rodentia; Sciuridae. The record is from RNAcentral.
GCUGGGCGCGGUGGCGCAUGCCUGUAAUCCCAGGGCUCGGGAGCCUGAGGCAGGAGGAUCGAGAGUUCGAAGCUAGCCUCAGUAACUUAGUGAGGCGCUAAGCAACUCAGUGAGACCCUGUCUCUA